RNAcentral lists this microRNA (22 nucleotides) under Melibe leonina. RNAcentral's name for it is "mle-miR-29b-5p". Its record names the gene mle-miR-29b-5p. Lineage: Eukaryota; Metazoa; Mollusca; Gastropoda; Nudibranchia; Dendronotidae. The record is from miRBase by way of RNAcentral.
CUGAUUUCCAGUGGUGGAUAGA